Molecule: transfer RNA, 71 nt
Filed under: Candidatus Melainabacteria bacterium
Lineage: Bacteria; Bacillati; Candidatus Melainabacteria
Also listed under: 2 other names
Description: tRNA-Gln
Rfam family: tRNA
About the family: Transfer RNA (tRNA) molecules are approximately 80 nucleotides in length. Their secondary structure includes four short double-helical elements and three loops (D, anti-codon, and T loops).
Source: RNAcentral
UGGCCGUUCGUCUAAUGGUAGGACCUCACCCUUUGAAGGUGAAGAUCUUGGUUCGAAUCCAAGGUGGCCAG